AUUGAACGCUGGCGGCAUGCCUUACACAUGCAAGUCGAACGGCAGCACGGGUGCUUGCCCCUGGUGGCGAGUGGCGAACGGGUGAGUAAUACAUCGGAACAUGUCCUGUAGUGGGGGAUAGCCCGGCGAAAGCCGGAUUAAUACCGCAUACGAUCUACGGAUGAAAGCGGGGGACCUUCGGGCCUCGCGCUAUAGGGUUGGCCGAUGGCUGAUUAGCUAGUUGGUGGGGUAAAGGCCUACCAAGGCGACGAUCAGUAGCUGGUCUGAGAGGACGACCAGCCACACUGGGACUGAGACACGGCCCAGACUCCUACGGGAGGCAGCAGUGGGGAAUUUGGGACAAUGGGCGAAAGCCUGAUCCAGCAAUGCCGCGUGUGUGAAGAAGGCCUUCGGGUUGUAAAGCACUUUUGUCCGGAAAGAAAUCCUUGGCUCUAAUACAGUCGGGGGAUGACGGUACCGGAAGAAUAAGCACCGGCGAACUACGU
Molecule: ribosomal RNA, 485 nt
Filed under: uncultured bacterium
Lineage: Bacteria
Description: partial 16S ribosomal RNA
Rfam family: Bacterial small subunit ribosomal RNA
Source: RNAcentral